RNAcentral lists this long non-coding RNA (687 nucleotides) under Elaeis guineensis (African oil palm). RNAcentral's name for it is "long non-coding RNA (EGUI_LNC046087)". The record is from RNAcentral. Lineage: Eukaryota; Viridiplantae; Streptophyta; Magnoliopsida; Arecales; Arecaceae.
CAAGGAAGACUUCACCCGAACUCCUACGGGAGUCGGGUUCCGCCUGCAAGGAAGACUUCAGCCGGACUCCUACGAGAGUCGGGCUCCAUCCACGACUUCUGCAGCAAGGGUUAAUGGUGGCGAAACCUGGCCGGCUAACAAGAUCAGAUGAAAGGAAAAAGCCUCCUCCCAACGAUGUCAACAUCAGGCAAGUCAGAUGGCAAGAAAGGUUCGGCAGACAGCGAUAUUAGUGCAGCGCACGGACGAGGUAACGUAAAAUGCUCUUUUUAUUCCAUUUUCGAUAUACACACUACAAAGCCAAGAAGGCCAAGGAAAGAAGGGCAAAACGACAAAAAGGAAGUAACUACAUGAUAAGACAGAAAGGCAAAAAGAGCUCUAAGGAGGCCCUGCUCCCUCCGACCUAGAGUUAUCUAUUCCGUCCCUCAACCAGGACUGCCUCAGAUUCUCUAUUUCUCCUUCUAGCUCUUCCCUCUUCCGCAGCGCGUCCUGGAGCGCCCGACGAAGUUGCUGGCUCUCAGCCUCCGCUUCUCGAUGCCUCUUCCUCAAAACUUCGGACUCCGCCUCCGCGUCUGCAACGGCCCGCCACUCAAGUGCCAGUUGGAUCUUCACUUGUUGCAGCUCGGCUGUCUUCUCCCCGAGGGAGACAGAAAUCCCUUCAACAGUGCCUCUCAGGGCUUGGAGCUCUUC